UUGUUUUCUAUUUUUUAUAUUAACUAUAUUCCUAUUGUACCAUGCUGGAAUCUUAUUUUUAUAUUUUUUGUUUUGCUUUAUAGGUACUGUCAUCAUUAAUACAUCGCUCAAUGUUUGAUAGAAUACAUUUACGGCUUGGUCAGGAUUUAGGUUGCCGAUAAGGGUUUGCCAAUCGAUACAGUUCAAGUUAUUUUUAAUAAGCUCGUAGUUUGCAUUUCUAAAAUCGAGAUAGGGUUCGGAUAAAUUGUCAUCAAAUGUUCUAGAUGUCUCGUGGUUGAAAAUGGAGUAUUCAAUUGCAAUAUGAAACACUUCGUUUUUCCAUAGAGGGGAAGAUGACUCGGUCACGCAGAAAUCAUCAGUCAUAUUAGUAAAAACUAUACGCAUAACUGCUUGGAUCCGUCGGUUCUCGUUCAACUGCAAACCACGAAACAAAUUUCAGCGAAGGUGCGGCAUUAUAACAGCCGCCGAA
This is a long non-coding RNA of Armigeres subalbatus, 469 nucleotides long. RefSeq lists it as uncharacterized. Lineage: Eukaryota; Metazoa; Arthropoda; Insecta; Diptera; Culicidae. The transcript has 2 exons. The record is from RefSeq and is a predicted model, not a curated record.